CCUACGGGGGGCUGCAGUCGAGGAUCAUUCGCAAUGCGCGAAAGCGUGACGAUGCGACGCUGCGUGGAGGAUGAAGGCCUUCGGGUUGUAAACUCCUGUCAUCCGGGAUCAAUGCCGCGGGGGUGAAUAAUCUCCGCGGAGGGAUAGUACCGGAAGAGGAAGCCACGGCUAACUCUGUGCCAGCAGCCGCGGUAAUACAGAGGUGGCGAGCGUUGUUCGGAUUUACUGGGCGUAAAGGGUGCGUAGGUGGCUCCGUGUGCCGGGCGUGAAAUCUUGCUGCUCAACGGCAAAACUGCGUCCGAGACUGCGGAGCUAGAGUGCAGGAGAGGAAAGCGGAAUUCUUGGUGUAGCGGUGGAAUGCGUUGAUAUCAAGAGGAACACCGGUGGCGAAGGCGGCUUUCUGGAAUGCAACUGACACUGAGGCACGAAAGUUGGGGGAGCAAACAGGAUUAGAUACCCCUGUAGUC
This 467-nucleotide ribosomal RNA is filed under the name uncultured Verrucomicrobiota bacterium. RNAcentral describes it as "bacterial SSU rRNA". It matches the Rfam family "Bacterial small subunit ribosomal RNA", at positions 338 to 795 of the family's 1533-position model. The record is from RNAcentral. Lineage: Bacteria; Pseudomonadati; Verrucomicrobiota.